GCAUUUCUCCUGUAUUCAGCUUUCCCUUUAAAAUGAUUCGUACAAUCAGCUAGUAGAACUUGACAGACUCUAAAGCUAAGUGAUUGAAUCUUUCUCUCUUCAUCUCUUUUGAUUAACAUAAAAGCAGAUUAGACCAAUCCCAUUAGACAUCAACCCAGUCACCUUCUGACCAUAUGGUGUAAAGCUCCUCUGUCCCUACAUCCACUUUGACACACUGAUUUCUAUUUCUGUCAACCCCACACAUCUCUCUCCCACACGAGAAUCUCCCAGUGAGUCUAACCCUGCAGACCAUAUGGAGCCACAGCAGGAUUUUUGGUGCUGAGUCUGAACGAGGAGGGGCAGAGUGGUGACAGGUUUCUGGUUACCUUGCAGAUGCAGUCCUGAACCAAGAAAAGCUUAACUGCCCAACUGAAAUCAUGCACUAUCUACAACAGCAGUCAUCCCGCUUCAACUCCUGAAUCAAACCUAGAAAUUCUCCCUGCUGAUUCCUUCUUGUGAAAACUGGAUAAACCUAGGAUCUCCUUUUCCUCCUUUUCUUGUUUAGAAACAUCGGGAUCAUAUAUAUGUGUUACACAACCAGAAAAUGUGGUUGUUUGCAGUGUGUAAAGGCCUUUGUGGUCCAACAUCUCCGCUCUACAGUCCAGAGGACACUCAAGUCUUGUGGUUUGUUCAGAUGCCACUUUGUAAAGCUAAGCCGUGCUACCACGUUCUUUUGAGAGAGAAGAGCCUUUCUCCUGGCAACCCUUUCAAAGGAGCUGUACUUGUUUAGUCUUUUGCUAAUUGUACUGUCAUCAACUUUAACAUUGCUGGCUGAGGGCUCUGAUAUGUAGCUUGUGGGUUUUCUGCAGAUUAUUAUACAGCCAUAGACUGAAUUUGUUGCGACACUCACAGGUGGAAAUGCUCCAGACAAGCAAACUGCAAACAACAAAAUAUCUGCUUUCACAGAAAUGCUCACAUUUGCUGAUGAUCAGGUGCUGAAAUGCAUUUGAUUAGUAGCUCCUGGCUGCUACUUAUACCCUCUUAAAACCUGUGGAAGCAGUACUUUAAAAUACAUAAAAAGUGAAGCCCUACCUCCAGUUGUUUCUUGCCAUGUAGCCAGUUUUCAGAAAUUCAGUUCAUUUGUCUCAGAUUUCUGUCUUGCUC
This is a long non-coding RNA of Astatotilapia calliptera (eastern happy), 1143 nucleotides long. The record is from Ensembl. NCBI's taxonomy places the organism in Eukaryota, Metazoa, Chordata, Actinopteri, Cichliformes, Cichlidae.